RNAcentral lists this transfer RNA (76 nucleotides) under Clostridiales bacterium. Its description in RNAcentral is "tRNA-Lys". It matches the Rfam family "tRNA". Rfam says of the family: Transfer RNA (tRNA) molecules are approximately 80 nucleotides in length. The record is from RNAcentral. Lineage: Bacteria; Bacillati; Bacillota; Clostridia; Eubacteriales. RNAcentral also lists the same sequence under 1 other name.
GACCCAUUAGCUCAGCAGGUAGAGCACUGGACUUUUAAUCCAGGUGUCCGGCGUUCGAAUCGCCGAUGGGUCACCA